GAUGAACGCUGGCGGCGUGCCUAAUACAUGCAAGUCGAGCGAGCAGACGAGGAGCUUGCUCCUCUGAUGUUAGCGGCGGACGGGUGAGUAACACGUGGAUAACCUACCUAUAAGACUGGGAUAACUUCGGGAAACCGGAGCUAAUACCGGAUAACAUGUUGAACCGCAUGGUUCAACAGUGAAAGACGGUCUUGCUGUCACUUAUAGAUGGAUCCGCGCCGCAUUAGCUAGUUGGUAAGGUAACGGCUUACCAAGGCAACGAUGCGUAGCCGACCUGAGAGGGUGAUCGGCCACACUGGAACUGAGACACGGUCCAGACUCCUACGGGAGGCAGCAGUAGGGAAUCUUCCGCAAUGGGCGAAAGCCUGACGGAGCAACGCCGCGUGAGUGAAGAAGGUCUUCGGAUCGUAAAACUCUGUUAUUAGGGAAGAACAAAUGUGUAAGUAACUAUGCACGUCUUGACGGUACCUAAUCAGAAAGCCACGGCUAACUACGU
Molecule: ribosomal RNA, 496 nt
Filed under: uncultured bacterium
Lineage: Bacteria
Description: partial 16S ribosomal RNA
Rfam family: Bacterial small subunit ribosomal RNA
Source: RNAcentral